GGAUUGUGGCUCAAUGGUAGAGCGCUUGCCUAGCACGUGUGAGGCCUUGGGUUCAAUCCUCAGCACCA
RNAcentral lists this transfer RNA (68 nucleotides) under Marmota monax (woodchuck). Its description in RNAcentral is "tRNA.Ala". The stretch from base 5 to 65 matches the Rfam family "tRNA", at positions 6 to 65 of the family's 71-position model. From Rfam's summary of the family: Transfer RNA (tRNA) molecules are approximately 80 nucleotides in length. Their secondary structure includes four short double-helical elements and three loops (D, anti-codon, and T loops). Lineage: Eukaryota; Metazoa; Chordata; Mammalia; Rodentia; Sciuridae. The record is from RNAcentral.